AGGCCACUGCUAUGGGGGUCCGACUAAGCCAUGCGAGUCAUGGGGCGCCUUGCGCGCACCGGCGGACGGCUCAGUAACACGUCGGUAACCUACCCUCGGGAGGGGGAUAACCCCGGGAAACUGGGGCUAAUCCCCCAUAGGCCUGAGGUACUGGAAGGUCCUCAGGCCGAAAGGGGCUCUGCCCGCCCGAGGAUGGGCCGGCGGCCGAUUAGGUAGUUGGUGGGGUAACGGCCCACCAAGCCGAAGAUCGGUACGGGCCAUGAGAGUGGGAGCCCGGAGAUGGACACUGAGACACGGGUCCAGGCCCUACGGGGCGCAGCAGGCGCGAAACCUCCGCAAUGCGGGCAACCGCGACGGGGGGACCCCCAGUGCCGUGGCAUCGCCACGGCUUUUCCGGAGUGUAAAGAGCUCCGGGAAUAAGGGCUGGGCAAGGCCGGUGGCAGCCGCCGCGGUAAUACCGGCGGCCCGAGUGGUGGCCGCUAUUAUUGGGCCUAAAGCGUCCGUAGCCGGGCCCGUAAGUCCCUGGCGAAAUCCCACGGCUCAACCGUGGGGCUUGCUGGGGAUACUGCGGGCCUUGGGACCGGGAGAGGCGGAGGGUACUCCUGGGGUAGGGGUGAAAUCCUAUAAUCCCAGGAGGACCGCCAGUGGCGAAGGCGCUCCGCUGGAACGGGUCCGACGGUGAGGGACGAAGGCCAGGGGAGCGAACCGGAUUAGAUACCCGGGUAGUCCUGGCUGUAAAGGAUGCGGGCUAGGUGUCGGGCGAGCUUCGAGCUCGCCCGGUGCCGAAGGGAAGCCGUUAAGCCCGCCGCCUGGGGAGUACGGCCGCAAGGCUGAAACUUAAAGGAAUUGGCGGGGGAGCACUACAAGGGGUGGAGCGUGCGGUUUAAUUGGAUUCAACGCCGGGAACCUCACCGGGGGCGACGGCAGGAUGAAGGCCAGGCUGAAGGUCUUGCCGGACACGCCGAGAGGAGGUGCAUGGCCGCCGUCAGCUCGUACCGUGAGGCGUCCACUUAAGUGUGGUAACGAGCGAGACCCGCGCCCCCAGUUGCCAGUCCUCCCCGCUGGGGAGGAGGCACUCUGGGGGGACCGCCGGCGAUAAGCCGGAGGAAGGAGCGGGCGACGGUAGGUCAGUAUGCCCCGAAACCCCCGGGCUACACGCGCGCUACAAUGAGCGGGACAAUGGGAUCCGACCCCGAAAGGGGAAGGUAAUCCCCUAAACCCGCUCCCAGUUCGGAUCGCGGGCUGCAACUCGCCCGCGUGAAGCUGGAAUCCCUAGUACCCGCGUGUCAUCAUCGCGCGGCGAAUACGUCCCUGCUCCUUGCACACACCGCCCGUCACUCCACCCGAGCGGGGUCUGGAUGAGGCCUGGUCUCCCUUCGGGGAGGCCGGGUCGAGUCUGGGCUCCGUGAGGGGGGAGAAGUCGUA
This 1425-nucleotide ribosomal RNA is filed under the name Thermococcus sp. LMO-A8. RNAcentral's name for it is "bacterial SSU rRNA". It matches the Rfam family "Archaeal small subunit ribosomal RNA". Lineage: Archaea; Methanobacteriati; Methanobacteriota; Thermococci; Thermococcales; Thermococcaceae. The record is from RNAcentral.